RNAcentral lists this ribosomal RNA (1357 nucleotides) under Brinjal little leaf phytoplasma. RNAcentral describes it as "bacterial SSU rRNA". It matches the Rfam family "Bacterial small subunit ribosomal RNA", at positions 163 to 1533 of the family's 1533-position model. The record is from RNAcentral. Lineage: Bacteria; Bacillati; Mycoplasmatota; Mollicutes; Acholeplasmatales; Acholeplasmataceae.
UUAAGACUUUAUAGGAAACAAAAAGGCAUCUUUUUGUUUUUAAAAGACCUUCUUACGAAGGUAUGCUUAAAGAGGGGCUUGCGCCACAUUAGUUAGUUGGUAGAGUAAAAGCCUACCAAGACGAUGAUGUGUAGCUGGACUGAGAGGUUGAACAGCCACAUUGGGACUGAGACACGGCCCAAACUCCUACGGGAGGCAGCAGUAGGGAAUUUUCGGCAAUGGAGGAAACUCUGACCGAGCAACGCCGCGUGAACGAUGAAGUAUUUCGGUAUGUAAAGUUCUUUUAUUGAAGAAGAAAAAGUAGUGGAAAAACUAUAUUGACGUUAUUCAAUGAAUAAGCCCCGGCUAACUAUGUGCCAGCAGCCGCGGUAAGACAUAGGGGGCGAGCGUUAUCCGGAAUUAUUGGGCGUAAAGGGUGCGUAGGCUGUUAGAUAAGUCUAUAAUUUAAUUUCAGUGCUUAACGCUGUCUUGUUAUAGAAACUGUCUUGACUAGAGUGAGAUAGAGGCAAGCGGAAUUCCAUGUGUAGCGGUAAAAUGUGUAAAUAUAUGGAGGAACACCAGAAGCGUAGGCGGCUUGCUGGGUCUUUACUGACGCUGAGGCACGAAAGCGUGGGUAGCAAACAGGAUUAGAUACCCUGGUAGUCCACGCCGUAAACGAUGAGUACUAAGUGUCGGGGUAAAACUCGGUACUGAAGUUAACACAUUAAGUACUCCGCCUGAGUAGUACGUACGCAAGUAUGAAACUUAAAGGAAUUGACGGGACUCCGCACAAGCGGUGGAUCAUGUUGUUUAAUUCGAAGAUACACGAAAAAUCUUACCAGGUCUUGACAUACUCUGCAAAGCUAUAGAAAUAUAGUGGAGGUUAUCAGGGAUACAGGUGGUGCAUGGUUGUCGUCAGUUCGUGUCGUGAGAUGUUAGGUUAAGUCCUAAAACGAACGCAACCCUUGUCGUUAAUUGCCAGCACAUAAUGGUGGGGACUUUAACGAGACUGCCAAUUAAACAUUGGAGGAAGGUGAGGAUUACGUCAAAUCAUCAUGCCCCUUAUGAUCUGGGCUACAAACGUGAUACAAUGGCUGUGACAAAGAGUAGCUGAAACGCGAGUUUUUAGCCAAUCUCAAAAAAGCAGUCUCAGUUCGGAUUGAAGUCUGUAACUCGACUUCAUGAAGUUGGAAUCGCUAGUAAUCGCGAAUCAGCAUGUCGCGGUGAAUACGUUCUCGGGGUUUGUACACACCGCCCGUCAAACCACGAAAGUUAGCAAUGCCCGAAAGCAGUAGCUUAACUUCGCAAGAAGAGGGAACUGUCUAUUUGUACUCCCUGAUGAGUUGUGGAUCUGUCCUACCCAGCCCCACGUCCCCUA